RNAcentral lists this ribosomal RNA (2689 nucleotides) under Escherichia coli. Its description in RNAcentral is "bacterial LSU rRNA". It matches the Rfam family "Bacterial large subunit ribosomal RNA". The record is from RNAcentral. Lineage: Bacteria; Pseudomonadati; Pseudomonadota; Gammaproteobacteria; Enterobacterales; Enterobacteriaceae.
GGGUUGUGAGGUUAAGCGACUAAGCGUACACGGUGGAUGCCCUGGCAGUCAGAGGCGAUGAAGGACGUGCUAAUCUGCGAUAAGCGUCGGUAAGGUGAUAUGAACCGUUAUAACCGGCGAUUUCCGAAUGNUCGGUAAGGUGAUAUGAACCGUUAUAACCGGCGAUUUCCGAAUGGGGAAACCCAGUGUGUUUCGACACACUAUCAUUAACUGAAUCCAUAGGUUAAUGAGGCGAACCGGGGGAACUGAAACAUCUAAGUACCCCGAGGAAAAGAAAUCAACCGAGAUUCCCCCAGUAGCGGCGAGCGAACGGGGAGCAGCCCAGAGCCUGAAUCAGUGUGUGUGUUAGUGGAAGCGUCUGGAAAGGCGCGCGAUACAGGGUGACAGCCCCGUACACAAAAAUGCACAUGCUGUGAGCUCGAUGAGUAGGGCGGGACACGUGGUAUCCUGUCUGAAUAUGGGGGGACCAUCCUCCAAGGCUAAAUACUCCUGACUGACCGAUAGUGAACCAGUACCGUGAGGGAAAGGCGAAAAGAACCCCGGCGAGGGGAGUGAAAAAGAACCUGAAACCGUGUACGUACAAGCAGUGGGAGCACGCUUAGGCGUGUGACUGCGUACCUUUUGUAUAAUGGGUCAGCGACUUAUAUUCUGUAGCAAGGUUAACCGAAUAGGGGAGCCGAAGGGAAACCGAGUCUUAACUGGGCGUUAAGUUGCAGGGUAUAGACCCGAAACCCGGUGAUCUAGCCAUGGGCAGGUUGAAGGUUGGGUAACACUAACUGGAGGACCGAACCGACUAAUGUUGAAAAAUUAGCGGAUGACUUGUGGCUGGGGGUGAAAGGCCAAUCAAACCGGGAGAUAGCUGGUUCUCCCCGAAAGCUAUUUAGGUAGCGCCUCGUGAAUUCAUCUCCGGGGGUAGAGCACUGUUUCGGCAAGGGGGUCAUCCCGACUUACCAACCCGAUGCAAACUGCGAAUACCGGAGAAUGUUAUCACGGGAGACACACGGCGGGUGCUAACGUCCGUCGUGAAGAGGGAAACAACCCAGACCGCCAGCUAAGGUCCCAAAGUCAUGGUUAAGUGGGAAACGAUGUGGGAAGGCCCAGACAGCCAGGAUGUUGGCUUAGAAGCAGCCAUCAUUUAAAGAAAGCGUAAUAGCUCACUGGUCGAGUCGGCCUGCGCGGAAGAUGUAACGGGGCUAAACCAUGCACCGAAGCUGCGGCAGCGACGCUUAUGCGUUGUUGGGUAGGGGAGCGUUCUGUAAGCCUGCGAAGGUGUGCUGUGAGGCAUGCUGGAGGUAUCAGAAGUGCGAAUGCUGACAUAAGUAACGAUAAAGCGGGUGAAAAGCCCGCUCGCCGGAAGACCAAGGGUUCCUGUCCAACGUUAAUCGGGGCAGGGUGAGUCGACCCCUAAGGCGAGGCCGAAAGGCGUAGUCGAUGGGAAACAGGUUAAUAUUCCUGUACUUGGUGUUACUGCGAAGGGGGGACGGAGAAGGCUAUGUUGGCCGGGCGACGGUUGUCCCGGUUUAAGCGUGUAGGCUGGUUUUCCAGGCAAAUCCGGAAAAUCAAGGCUGAGGCGUGAUGACGAGGCACUACGGUGCUGAAGCAACAAAUGCCCUGCUUCCAGGAAAAGCCUCUAAGCAUCAGGUAACAUCAAAUCGUACCCCAAACCGACACAGGUGGUCAGGUAGAGAAUACCAAGGCGCUUGAGAGAACUCGGGUGAAGGAACUAGGCAAAAUGGUGCCGUAACUUCGGGAGAAGGCACGCUGAUAUGUAGGUGAAGUCCCUCGCGGAUGGAGCUGAAAUCAGUCGAAGAUACCAGCUGGCUGCAACUGUUUAUUAAAAACACAGCACUGUGCAAACACGAAAGUGGACGUAUACGGUGUGACGCCUGCCCGGUGCCGGAAGGUUAAUUGAUGGGGUCACCGCAAGCGAAGCUCUUGAUCGAAGCCCCGGUAAACGGCGGCCGUAACUAUAACGGUCCUAAGGUAGCGAAAUUCCUUGUCGGGUAAGUUCCGACCUGCACGAAUGGCGUAAUGAUGGCCAGGCUGUCUCCACCCGAGACUCAGUGAAAUUGAACUCGCUGUGAAGAUGCAGUGUACCCGCGGCAAGACGGAAAGACCCCGUGAACCUUUACUAUAGCUUGACACUGAACAUUGAGCCUUGAUGUGUAGGAUAGGUGGGAGGCUUUGAAGUGUGGACGCCAGUCUGCAUGGAGCCGACCUUGAAAUACCACCCUUUAAUGUUUGAUGUUCUAACGUUGACCCGUAAUCCGGGUUGCGGACAGUGUCUGGUGGGUAGUUUGACUGGGGCGGUCUCCUCCUAAAGAGUAACGGAGGAGCACGAAGGUUGGCUAAUCCUGGUCGGACAUCAGGAGGUUAGUGCAAUGGCAUAAGCCAGCUUGACUGCGAGCGUGACGGCGCGAGCAGGUGCGAAAGCAGGUCAUAGUGAUCCGGUGGUUCUGAAUGGAAGGGCCAUCGCUCAACGGAUAAAAGGUACUCCGGGGAUAACAGGCUGAUACCGCCCAAGAGUUCAUAUCGACGGCGGUGUUUGGCACCUCGAUGUCGGCUCAUCACAUCCUGGGGCUGAAGUAGGUCCCAAGGGUAUGGCUGUUCGCCAUUUAAAGUGGUACGCGAGCUGGGUUUAGAACGUCGUGAGACAGUUCGGUCCCUAUCUGCCGUGGGCGCUGGAGAA